GGGAUUUGUAAUGCCUUUCUACUUAGUUC
This 29-nucleotide non-coding RNA is filed under the name Mus musculus (house mouse). Lineage: Eukaryota; Metazoa; Chordata; Mammalia; Rodentia; Muridae. The record is from RNAcentral.